RNAcentral lists this ribosomal RNA (270 nucleotides) under uncultured archaeon. RNAcentral's name for it is "partial 16S ribosomal RNA". It matches the Rfam family "Archaeal small subunit ribosomal RNA", at positions 477 to 747 of the family's 1478-position model. The record is from RNAcentral.
CGGCACCUCAAGUGGUCAGGAUGAUUAUUGGGCCUAAAGCAUCCGUAGCCGGCUCUGUAAGUUUUCGGUUAAAUCUGUAUGCUCAACAUACAGGCUGCCGGGAAUACUGCAGAGCUAGGGAGUGGGAGAGGUAGACGGUACUCGGUAGGAAGGGGUAAAAUCCUUUGAUCUAUUGAUGACCACCUGUGGCGAAGGCGGUCUACCAGAACACGUCCGACGGUGAGGGAUGAAAGCUAGGGGAGCGAACCGGAUUAGAUACCCGAGUAGUCC